RNAcentral lists this long non-coding RNA (768 nucleotides) under Chrysemys picta bellii (western painted turtle). RNAcentral's name for it is "lncRNA (ENSCPBG00000023728.1)". The record is from RNAcentral. Lineage: Eukaryota; Metazoa; Chordata; Testudines; Emydidae.
CAAGGCUUUGGGGAAGGGAGAAGAAGUAACCGAGCUCACUGAAUUGGACAAUGAGGAGGCGGAGAUAAAGGGCAUCCUAGAAUGUCUUGAGAACAGUGAUUUGUUGUCUGUGGAGCACCAGCUCCACAUAUUGAGAAACCUAGAAAGAAAAAUCAAUAUUAUCAACCACCUGAACAGUGACCUGGCCCAGCGGCUGGUUGACAUCACCUCCAUCAAUCUAAUCAAGAAUACGGAGCUGAAGGAGGAAUUUGAGGAGGCUGCCAUUGCCAUCCUAGUGGCGGUUGGGAAGCACUGUCCAGGAGAUGUCGUGGCCACGCUGCAGGAGAGAUUCCAGCCAAAAGUCCUGCCCCACCGCAGUAUCCUUUGUGCAAUGGAGAAGCUCUGUCAACUCAGUGGUACCAUCUUUCUGAACUUCCUGUUGUCUGAGUUUCUUGUUAGAAGUGUUCACCUGUGUGGCCCCACUAAACAGGUCUGAGUUACCUGGGCUUUUCCUAUGUACCCUUCCUAUAGUGACUGCUAUGCUGUGGCUGGUCAAAAAUUUUCCACCUAACCUGGCUUUCAAUGGAAAAUUGGGGUUGUGGACUGCAGAGCUGAGUAGGCUGCACCAUCCAAAGGGACAGUGCACUCUAUAUGCUCCCUCCUCAAGCUCCUUUGGGGGCAGUGCAGCUUCACACUGCCUCCACCAUAGGCAUAUGCCUUAAAGGUACAAUCUGGCCCAAGGCGCAAGGUAAGUGCUGUACCCUUGUGUUUUUACACUUUCAUUUGGUU